Molecule: ribosomal RNA, 592 nt
Filed under: uncultured bacterium
Lineage: Bacteria
Description: bacterial SSU rRNA
Rfam family: Bacterial small subunit ribosomal RNA
Source: RNAcentral
CAUGCAGUCGAGCGGGGUUUUCGGACCUAGCGGCGGACGGGUGAGUAAUGCGUAUGAAGCUACCCGAUAGAGGGGGAUACCAGUUGGAAACGACUGUUAAUACCGCAUAAUGUCUACGGACCAAAGUGUGGGACCUUCGGGCCACAUGCUAUCGGAUGCGCCUACGUGGGAUUAGCUAGUUGGUGGGGUAAUGGCUCACCAAGGCGACGAUCCCUAGCUGGUUUGAGAGGAUGAUCAGCCACACUGGAACUGAGACACGGUCCAGACUCCUACGGGAGGCAGCAGUGGGGAAUAUUGGACAAUGGGCGCAAGCCUGAUCCAGCCAUGCCGCGUGUGUGAAGAAGGCCUUCGGGUUGUAAAGCACUUUCGGCGAGGAGGAAGGGAGUUGUGUUAAUAGUACAGCUUCUUGACGUUACUCGCAGAAGAAGCACCGGCUAACUCUGUGCCAGCAGCCGCGGUAAUACAGAGGGUGCAAGCGUUAAUCGGAAUUACUGGGCGUAAAGCGCACGUAGGCGGUUUUUUAAGUCAGAUGUGAAAGCCCCGGGCUCAACCUGGGAAUUGCAUUUGAAACUGGAAAACUAGAGUGUGUGAG